UGUCACAAUCAUGCAUACACAUUUAAGGAACUAACUCUAUAUAAUAUUUAAUUUCUCCUUAGACUACCACACAAGAGUCUUACAGAAGUUGCAAGAACUCUGUGAAAACCAGCAAGAUAUCCUUGCUAUGCAAAGGGAAAUUCUGGCUGCAGUGACUGUUCCAGGGGUUAAAGCAGAGGAGGGGGUUCUAGAAAAUGGGCCCUGUCAAACCAUCAAACAACUUAAACAGUUUGACAAAACAUUAGACACUCAAGAGAAAAGGACAAAGAUGGUGAACUACCUACAGUCAAUCGGGGUUCAAAUCCAGGGGCAGCUGUUCGAAAAUGCUGCGUAAGGUGGCCACCAAUGAGGUCCUGGGUGCAUACAGCCUUAGGGGGAAGAAAUCCAAACUAGCCUUCCAAGGUCUCAGGAUUUGUUCCAUUAUUAUAGGUGCAACACAGAGGAAUUUUAAAUCACUGAAGUCAGUUGAGGUGGAGGAUUUGAUUUCCCUGGCUCUAAAAUUUGCCCCCCACAGGAAUUUGAAAUGAAGACUGAGGCGGAAGAACAAGAGUAGAAGACGAAGGAAAAUGAUUAUCAACAUGUUGUUAGUAGUAGUAGUAAUUUAUAGUUAUAGGUAAUUUAUUUAUAGUUAAUACCGUAAUUUAUUUGUUCAUGCUGUAUCGUUCCUUAAUAUGCUUGCACCUGUGCAUGUUUAUUUGUAUAUACUUGAUAAUGAAAUGUUUUGGAAGUAUUUCAUGGCUUAUGCUAUUUUAUAUCAACAAUAAAACAAUGAAUAUGGA
Molecule: long non-coding RNA, 779 nt
Organism: Onychostoma macrolepis
Lineage: Eukaryota; Metazoa; Chordata; Actinopteri; Cypriniformes; Cyprinidae
Exons: 4
Source: RefSeq, a predicted model, not a curated record